UAGGGAAUAUUGCACAAUGGGGGAAACCCUGAUGCAGCGACGCCGCGUGAAGGAAGAAGUAUCUCGGUAUGUAAACUUCUAUCAGCAGGGAAGACAAUGACGGUACCUGACUAAGAAGCCCCGGCUAACUACGUGCCAGCAGCCGCGGUAAUACGUAGGGGGCAAGCGUUAUCCGGAUUUACUGGGUGUAAAGGGAGCGUAGACGGAUCUGCAAGUCUGGAGUGAAAGCCCGGGGCUCAACCCCGGGACUGCUUUGGAAACUGUAGAUCUAGAGUGCCGGAGAGGUAAGCGGAAUUCCUAGUGUAGCGGUGAAAUGCGUAGAUAUUAGGAGGAACACCAGUGGCGAAGGCGGCUUACUGGACGGUAACUGACGUUGAGGCUCGAAAGCGUGGGGAGCAAACAGG
Molecule: ribosomal RNA, 404 nt
Filed under: uncultured Blautia sp.
Lineage: Bacteria; Bacillati; Bacillota; Clostridia; Lachnospirales; Lachnospiraceae
Description: bacterial SSU rRNA
Rfam family: Bacterial small subunit ribosomal RNA
Source: RNAcentral